RNAcentral lists this ribosomal RNA (294 nucleotides) under Chloroflexota bacterium. Its description in RNAcentral is "partial 23S ribosomal RNA". It matches the Rfam family "Bacterial large subunit ribosomal RNA", at positions 2633 to 2925 of the family's 2925-position model. Lineage: Bacteria; Bacillati; Chloroflexota. The record is from RNAcentral.
GGUCUCUAUCCGCCGUGGGCGUAGGGAGUUUGAUGGGAGCCGUCCCUAGUACGAGAGGACCGGGAUGGACGGACCUCCGGUGUAGCGGUUGUCGUGCCAACGGCAGCGCCGCGUAGCCGACGUCCGGCAGGGAUAAGCGCUGAAAGCAUCUAAGUGCGAAGCUCGCCCAAAGACGAGACUCCCCACCGGGUUAACCGGGUAAGGCCCCUGGUAGACUACCAGGUUGAUAGGACGCAGGUGGAAGCGGGGUAACCCGUGGAGCUAAGCGUUACUAAUGGCCGAGGGCUCGCGCCU